GCAGCAGUAGGGAAUCUUCCGCAAUGGACGAAAGUCUGACGGAGCAACGCCGCGUGAGUGAUGAAGGUUUUCGGAUCGUAAAGCUCUGUUGUUAGGGAAGAACAAGUGCGAGAGUAACUGCUCGCACCUUGACGGUACCUAACCAGAAAGCCACGGCUAACUACGUGCCAGCAGCCGCGGUAAUACGUAGGUGGCAAGCGUUGUCCGGAAUUAUUGGGCGUAAAGGGCUCGCAGGCGGUUUCUUAAGUCUGAUGUGAAAGCCCCCGGCUCAACCGGGGAGGGUCAUUGGAAACUGGGAAACUUGAGUGCAGAAGAGGAGAGUGGAAUUCCACGUGUAGCGGUGAAAUGCGUAGAGAUGUGGAGGAACACCAGUGGCGAAGGCGACUCUCUGGUCUGUAACUGACGCUGAGGAGCGAAAGCGUGGGGAGCGAACAGGAUUAGAU
This 443-nucleotide ribosomal RNA is filed under the name Bacillus sp. (in: firmicutes). Its description in RNAcentral is "bacterial SSU rRNA". It matches the Rfam family "Bacterial small subunit ribosomal RNA", at positions 348 to 783 of the family's 1533-position model. Lineage: Bacteria; Bacillati; Bacillota; Bacilli; Caryophanales; Bacillaceae. The record is from RNAcentral.